Molecule: non-coding RNA, 467 nt
Organism: Pelobates cultripes (western spadefoot toad)
Lineage: Eukaryota; Metazoa; Chordata; Amphibia; Anura; Pelobatidae
Source: the annotation of a GenBank genome assembly
GGGUCUUUACGGUGAGACAUUAUGAUGUCACACCAAUUGGGAGCAUAUGGAGUUGGGUGUGUGUGAUGCCAUUCAGCUAGUGGAGUGAUGGGGCAUCUAAAUAUUGAUUGCCUAGGACAGCAAAAAUCCUUGCACCAGACCUGAUGGAAACCAAAUAAAAAGACAAGGGUAUUUAUUAUAUAAAUAACCAACAGCAAAAACCAGAAUUUAAUAUAUACAACCUGUAUAUUGAUGUGUAUAAAUAGGAGCCCUCCAGGUAGAGUAGAGGUCUCUAGAAAUGGCAAAAUAAACUGCACAUAGUGUAAUACAGUAUAACACAUCAAGUAGAUGGUAAUGUAUAAACAUACACUCACAAGGAUAAGAGAUUUUCAAGCUUGUCUCCCCAUCAGCGGUAUGUUUACUUAACUGUUUUCUUUGAUGAUCAAUGCACCUUUUAAGAUGUAGAAACAGAAAACAGCAAAAUGAUG